GGGUUGUGAGGUUAAGCGACUAAGCGUACACGGUGGAUGCCCUGGCAGUCAGAGGCGAUGAAGGACGUGCUAAUCUGCGAUAAGCGUCGGUAAGGUGAUAUGAACCGUUAUAACCGGCGAUUUCCGAAUGGGGAAACCCAGUGUGAUUCGUCACACUAUCAUUAACUGAAUCCAUAGGUUAAUGAGGCGAACCGGGGGAACUGAAACAUCUAAGUACCCCGAGGAAAAGAAAUCAACCGAGAUUCCCCCAGUAGCGGCGAGCGAACGGGGAGCAGCCCAGAGCCUGAAUCAGUGUGUGUGUUAGUGGAAGCGUCUGGAAAGGCGCGCGAUACAGGGUGACAGCCCCGUACACAAAAAUGCACAUGCUGUGAGCUCGAUGAGUAGGGCGGGACACGUGGUAUCCUGUCUGAAUAUGGGGGGACCAUCCUCCAAGGCUAAAUACUCCUGACUGACCGAUAGUGAACCAGUACCGUGAGGGAAAGGCGAAAAGAACCCCGGCGAGGGGAGUGAAAAAGAACCUGAAACCGUGUACGUACAAGCAGUGGGAGCCUCUUUAUGGGGUGACUGCGUACCUUUUGUAUAAUGGGUCAGCGACUUAUAUUCUGUAGCAAGGUUAACCGAAUAGGGGAGCCGAAGGGAAACCGAGUCUUAACUGGGCGUUAAGUUGCAGGGUAUAGACCCGAAACCCGGUGAUCUAGCCAUGGGCAGGUUGAAGGUUGGGUAACACUAACUGGAGGACCGAACCGACUAAUGUUGAAAAAUUAGCGGAUGACUUGUGGCUGGGGGUGAAAGGCCAAUCAAACCGGGAGAUAGCUGGUUCUCCCCGAAAGCUAUUUAGGUAGCGCCUCGUGAAUUCAUCUCCGGGGGUAGAGCACUGUUUCGGCAAGGGGGUCAUCCCGACUUACCAACCCGAUGCAAACUGCGAAUACCGGAGAAUGUUAUCACGGGAGACACACGGCGGGUGCUAACGUCCGUCGUGAAGAGGGAAACAACCCAGACCGCCAGCUAAGGUCCCAAAGUCAUGGUUAAGUGGGAAACGAUGUGGGAAGGCCCAGACAGCCAGGAUGUUGGCUUAGAAGCAGCCAUCAUUUAAAGAAAGCGUAAUAGCUCACUGGUCGAGUCGGCCUGCGCGGAAGAUGUAACGGGGCUAAACCAUGCACCGAAGCUGCGGCAGCGACACUAUGUGUUGUUGGGUAGGGGAGCGUUCUGUAAGCCUGUGAAGGUGUGCUGUGAGGCAUGCUGGAGGUAUCAGAAGUGCGAAUGCUGACAUAAGUAACGAUAAAGCGGGUGAAAAGCCCGCUCGCCGGAAGACCAAGGGUUCCUGUCCAACGUUAAUCGGGGCAGGGUGAGUCGACCCCUAAGGCGAGGCCGAAAGGCGUAGUCGAUGGGAAACAGGUUAAUAUUCCUGUACUUGGUGUUACUGCGAAGGGGGGACGGAGAAGGCUAUGUUGGCCGGGCGACGGUUGUCCCGGUUUAAGCGUGUAGGCUGGUUUUCCAGGCAAAUCCGGAAAAUCAAGGCUGAGGCGUGAUGACGAGGCACUACGGUGCUGAAGCAACAAAUGCCCUGCUUCCAGGAAAAGCCUCUAAGCAUCAGGUAACAUCAAAUCGUACCCCAAACCGACACAGGUGGUCAGGUAGAGAAUACCAAGGCGCUUGAGAGAACUCGGGUGAAGGAACUAGGCAAAAUGGUGCCGUAACUUCGGGAGAAGGCACGCUGAUAUGUAGGUGAAGUCCCUCGCGGAUGGAGCUGAAAUCAGUCGAAGAUACCAGCUGGCUGCAACUGUUUAUUAAAAACACAGCACUGUGCAAACACGAAAGUGGACGUAUACGGUGUGACGCCUGCCCGGUGCCGGAAGGUUAAUUGAUGGGGUUAGCGGUAACGCGAAGCUCUUGAUCGAAGCCCCGGUAAACGGCGGCCGUAACUAUAACGGUCCUAAGGUAGCGAAAUUCCUUGUCGGGUAAGUUCCGACCUGCACGAAUGGCGUAAUGAUGGCCAGGCUGUCUCCACCCGAGACUCAGUGAAAUUGAACUCGCUGUGAAGAUGCAGUGUACCCGCGGCAAGACGGAAAGACCCCGUGAACCUUUACUAUAGCUUGACACUGAACAUUGAGCCUUGAUGUGUAGGAUAGGUGGGAGGCUUUGAAGUGUGGACGCCAGUCUGCAUGGAGCCGACCUUGAAAUACCACCCUUUAAUGUUUGAUGUUCUAACGUUGGCCCCUGAUCGGGGUUGCGGACAGUGUCUGGUGGGUAGUUUGACUGGGGCGGUCUCCUCCUAAAGAGUAACGGAGGAGCACGAAGGUUGGCUAAUCCUGGUCGGACAUCAGGAGGUUAGUGCAAUGGCAUAAGCCAGCUUGACUGCGAGCGUGACGGCGCGAGCAGGUGCGAAAGCAGGUCAUAGUGAUCCGGUGGUUCUGAAUGGAAGGGCCAUCGCUCAACGGAUAAAAGGUACUCCGGGGAUAACAGGCUGAUACCGCCCAAGAGUUCAUAUCGACGGCGGUGUUUGGCACCUCGAUGUCGGCUCAUCACAUCCUGGGGCUGAAGUAGGUCCCAAGGGUAUGGCUGUUCGCCAUUUAAAGUGGUACGCGAGCUGGGUUUAGAACGUCGUGAGACAGUUCGGUCCCUAUCUGCCGUGGGCGCUGGAGAACUGAGGGGGGCUGCUCCUAGUACGAGAGGACCGGAGUGGACGCAUCACUGGUGUUCGGGUUGUCAUGCCAAUGGCACUGCCCGGUAGCUAAAUGCGGAAGAGAUAAGUGCUGAAAGCAUCUAAGCACGAAACUUGCCCCGAGAUGAGUUCUCCCUGACUCCUUGAGAGUCCUGAAGGAACGUUGAAGACGACGACGUUGAUAGGCCGGGUGUGUAAGCGCAGCGAUGCGUUGAGCUAACCGGUACUAAUGAACCGUGAGGCUUAACCUUACAACGCCGAAG
RNAcentral lists this ribosomal RNA (2925 nucleotides) under Escherichia coli. RNAcentral describes it as "bacterial LSU rRNA". It matches the Rfam family "Bacterial large subunit ribosomal RNA". Lineage: Bacteria; Pseudomonadati; Pseudomonadota; Gammaproteobacteria; Enterobacterales; Enterobacteriaceae. The record is from RNAcentral.